AGUCGAACGAAGGCUUCGGCCUUAGUGGCGCACGGGUGCGUAACGCGUGGGAAUCUGCCCUUGGGUUCGGAAUAACAGUGAGAAAUUACUGCUAAUACCGGAUGAUGACUUCGGUCCAAAGAUUUAUCGCCCAAGGAUGAGCCCGCGUAAGAUUAGCUAGUUGGUGAGGUAAAGGCUCACCAAGGCGACGAUCUUUAGCUGGUCUGAGAGGAUGAUCAGCCACACUGGGACUGAGACACGGCCCAGACUCCUACGGGAGGCAGCAGUGGGGAAUAUUGGACAAUGGGCGAAAGCCUGAUCCAGCAAUGCCGCGUGAGUGAUGAAGGCCUUAGGGUUGUAAAGCUCUUUUACCAGGGAUGAUAAUGACAGUACCUGGAGAAUAAGCUCCGGCUAACUCCGUGCCAGCAGCCGCGGUAAUACGGAGGGAGCUAGCGUUGUUCGGAAUUACUGGGCGUAAAGCGCACGUAGGCGGCCAUUCAAGUCAGAGGUGAAAGCCCGGGGCUCAACCCCGGAACUGCCUUUGAAACUAGAUGGCUUGAAUCUUGGAGAGGCGAGUGGAAUUCCGAGUGUAGAGGUGAAAUUCGUAGAUAUUCGGAAGAACACCAGUGGCGAAGGCGACUCGCUGGACAA
Molecule: ribosomal RNA, 630 nt
Filed under: Sphingomonas sp.
Lineage: Bacteria; Pseudomonadati; Pseudomonadota; Alphaproteobacteria; Sphingomonadales; Sphingomonadaceae
Description: bacterial SSU rRNA
Rfam family: Bacterial small subunit ribosomal RNA
Source: RNAcentral